RNAcentral lists this ribosomal RNA (513 nucleotides) under uncultured Bifidobacterium sp. RNAcentral describes it as "bacterial SSU rRNA". It matches the Rfam family "Bacterial small subunit ribosomal RNA", at positions 164 to 688 of the family's 1533-position model. Lineage: Bacteria; Bacillati; Actinomycetota; Actinomycetes; Bifidobacteriales; Bifidobacteriaceae. The record is from RNAcentral.
UAAUGCCGGAUGCUCCAGUUGGAUGCAUGUCCUUCUGGGAAAGAUUCAUCGGUAUGGGAUGGGGUCGCGUCCUAUCAGCUUGAUGGCGGGGUAACGGCCCACCAUGGCUUCGACGGGUAGCCGGCCUGAGAGGGCGACCGGCCACAUUGGGACUGAGAUACGGCCCAGACUCCUACGGGAGGCAGCAGUGGGGAAUAUUGCACAAUGGGCGCAAGCCUGAUGCAGCGACGCCGCGUGCGGGAUGACGGCCUUCGGGUUGUAAACCGCUUUUGACUGGGAGCAAGCCCUUCGGGGUGAGUGUACCUUUCGAAUAAGCACCGGCUAACUACGUGCCAGCAGCCGCGGUAAUACGUAGGGUGCAAGCGUUAUCCGGAAUUAUUGGGCGUAAAGGGCUCGUAGGCGGUUCGUCGCGUCCGGUGUGAAAGUCCAUCGCUUAACGGUGGAUCCGCGCCGGGUACGGGCGGGCUUGAGUGCGGUAGGGGAGACUGGAAUUCCCGGUGUAACGGCGGAAUG